GUUUGAUAACCUAUUGGUUGGGGACUGCGUUUCGGCCGCAGUUGUGGGAGGUUUCUCUAUCAAAGA
This 66-nucleotide transfer RNA is filed under the name Artyfechinostomum sufrartyfex. RNAcentral's name for it is "tRNA-Arg". The record is from RNAcentral. Lineage: Eukaryota; Metazoa; Platyhelminthes; Trematoda; Plagiorchiida; Echinostomatidae.